RNAcentral lists this ribosomal RNA (253 nucleotides) under uncultured bacterium. RNAcentral describes it as "partial 16S ribosomal RNA". It matches the Rfam family "Bacterial small subunit ribosomal RNA", at positions 524 to 776 of the family's 1533-position model. The record is from RNAcentral.
UACGGAGGGUGCAAGCGUUACCCGGAAUCACUGGGCGUAAAGGGCGUGUAGGCGGGAUGCUAAGUCUGGCUUUGAAGACCGGAGCUCAACUCCGGGAAUGGGCUGGAGACUGGCAUUCUGGACCUCUGGAGAGAGAACUGGAAUUCCUGGUGUAGCGGUGGAAUGCGUAGAUACCAGGAGGAACACCAACGGCGAAGGCAGGUUCUUGGACAGAAGGUGACGCUGAGGCGCGAAAGUGUGGGGAGCGAACCGG